GCCCGGGUGGCGGAAUUGGAAGACGCGUAUGACUCAAAAUCAUAUGGGUGAAAACCUGUGUGGGUUCGAGUCCCACCCCGGGCA
RNAcentral lists this transfer RNA (84 nucleotides) under Candidatus Parcubacteria bacterium. RNAcentral describes it as "tRNA-Leu". It matches the Rfam family "tRNA". Rfam says of the family: Transfer RNA (tRNA) molecules are approximately 80 nucleotides in length. Their secondary structure includes four short double-helical elements and three loops (D, anti-codon, and T loops). Further hydrogen bonds mediate the characteristic L-shaped molecular structure. tRNAs have two regions of fundamental functional importance: the anti-codon, which is responsible for specific mRNA codon recognition, and the 3' end, to which the tRNAs corresponding amino acid is attached (by aminoacyl-tRNA synthetases). tRNAs cope with the degeneracy of the genetic code in two manners: having more than one tRNA (with a specific anti-codon) for a particular amino acid; and 'wobble' base-pairing, i.e. permitting non-standard base-pairing at the 3rd anti-codon position. Lineage: Bacteria; Candidatus Parcubacteria. The record is from RNAcentral.